This is a long non-coding RNA of Papaver somniferum (opium poppy), 1436 nucleotides long. RefSeq lists it as uncharacterized. The record is from RefSeq and is a predicted model, not a curated record. NCBI's taxonomy places the organism in Eukaryota, Viridiplantae, Streptophyta, Magnoliopsida, Ranunculales, Papaveraceae. The transcript is spliced from 5 exons.
UCUACUCCUUUCUCAUGUUGCUUCUAAUUGUCUAUGAUGUCUUACUGGUCCAUAGGUUGCUUGUUUCCCAUUUGAUGACCAUAACUGCCCUCCAAUUCAACUCAUCACAUCAUUUUGUCAAAGUGCAUAUUCAUGGUUAAAAGAAGACAUAGAAAAUGUGGUUGUUGUUCAUUGUAAAGCUGGCAUGGCAAGGACAGGAUUGAUGAUCUCUAGCCUUCUUCUAUACCUGAAGUUCUUUCCAACAGCGGAGGAAUCAAUGGACUACUACAACCAGAAAAGAUGUGUGGACGGCAAAGGACUUGUUACUCCGAGUCAGAUUGUUAUAUUUAUCAAGAUAAUUAUUACUAAUAACUAAAUUAUUAGAAAAAUCUCUCAGAAGUACAUGUGCUUUCAUAUUUGUCUUACAAGGAUCUUGACUUCUGUUUCUUCUAGAGGUAUGUCAAAUACUUUGAGCGCAUCUUACAUAUUUCAAUGGAGAUAAUCAGCCUGGGCACAGGUAGGAAAUGUAUAAUGUUUCAUGGUCUAAACUAAAUGUCAAUAUGCCAGCGGCAUUACUGACAGUUCUUUCUGUGCAGAUGCAUGCUUAGGGCAUUACAUACAGUUCUUUCUCAUUGAAGGGCAAUACCUUCACCUUUGACGAUUUCAUCGGCACUGGAAAGUAACAACACAUUGAUCAAAACAUGUCCCUCAUUUUUUGCCUUCUAUUUUUAAGCUAAUUUUAUGGUGUUUCAGGGUUCAACUCCACAAGGUUCUGACCCAUGGCUAUGAUGACACCCCUGGCCGAUACAAAGUAAACAUGGGAGAUGCACCGUGAAACCCGGCUCAUACUCCACUACGCUAAUGCUGCCAAUAAACUUGCAACAAACUUCGGACCGUCUGCGGCGCCAUAUUUAACACCCCCAGUACACCGUAUGGCUCUCCACCUUCAGGCUAACCUCCUUCAGCUACCGGAUAUCCUCCUCCCCCCUACCAUACCCACCUACAGCCUAUACUCCUACAUAUCCUCGUCCACUGCAAGGAAUAUCUUAUUACUUACCAGGCCCAUACACGGGACCAUACCCACCACCUCCUUACUAAGAUAAAGUUCCCAAGUAACAGAAGUUCUAAGCGAGAUAAAUUACAUGCUUAACUUACGAAGUAGAUGUAAAAGGUGAAAAAUAUUUUGUUGUAUAACAAAUUGUAUCACAAUUAACUAAUAGUUGACAUGCUCUGUGGUAACACACAAGGUUUCCAAUGCUUUUGGAUGAACUAAUACCUGGGUUAAUUGCACAAGUAAGUGUUGAACAUCCUCCAAGCUGUAUGAUGCACGUAACUGGCUCUUCUGAAUCAAUUUGUUCUACACACUGAUGACUGGAAUUAAAUAGAACGGAAAACAGAAGCAUGGCAACAUUUUUGAUGUAUCAAUGGAUCAGAGUUCACGUAUCUUUAUAAGAUCA